This 97-nucleotide small RNA is filed under the name Klebsiella pneumoniae. Its description in RNAcentral is "partial RtT sRNA". It matches the Rfam family "RtT RNA", at positions 1 to 96 of the family's 130-position model. Rfam says of the family: This family represents a bacterial cis-regulatory element known as RtT RNA. The exact function of RtT is unknown although it is thought that it may be involved in changing the cellular response in relation to amino acid starvation. The record is from RNAcentral. RNAcentral also lists the same sequence under 1 other name. Lineage: Bacteria; Pseudomonadati; Pseudomonadota; Gammaproteobacteria; Enterobacterales; Enterobacteriaceae.
UAUUCUGCCCCAUGGGGAAGGAUGAGAAGCUUCGACUAAGGUUCGACUCGAGCGAAGCGAGAGAACGUUGCCGCAGGCAACGGCCCGAAGGGCGAGG